Molecule: RNA transcript, 3311 nt
Organism: Mirounga angustirostris (Northern elephant seal)
Lineage: Eukaryota; Metazoa; Chordata; Mammalia; Carnivora; Phocidae
Gene: KAT5
Gene name: lysine acetyltransferase 5
Exons: 17
Source: RefSeq, a predicted model, not a curated record
AUGGCGGAGGUGGUGAGUCCGGUGCCCGGGGCGGGGCGGAGGGAGCCAGGGGAGGUGGGUAGAACCCGAGGCCCCCCAGUAGCCGACCCUGGCGCCGCGCUGUCUCCCCAGGGGGAGAUAAUCGAGGGCUGCCGCCUGCCCGUGCUUCGGCGGAACCAGGACAACGAAGAUGAGUGGCCCCUGGCCGAGAUCCUGAGCGUGAAGGACAUCAGUGGCCGCAAGCUUUUCUACGUCCAUUACAUUGACUUCAACAAACGCCUGGAUGAAUGGGUGACCCACGAGCGGCUGGACCUAAAGAAGAUUCAGUUCCCCAAGAAAGAGGCCAAGACCCCCACCAAGAACGGACUUCCUGGGUCUCGCCCCGGCUCUCCAGAGAGAGAGGUGAGGAAGACCCUGGACCUAUCUCUACAGCCGGCCUCCGCCCAGGCCAGCGGGAAGACCUUGCCAAUCCCGGUCCAGAUCACACUCCGCUUCAACCUGCCCAAGGAGCGGGAGGCCAUUCCCGGUGGCGAGCCUGACCAGCCGCUCUCCUCCAGCUCCUGCCUGCAGCCCAACCACCGCUCAACGAAACGGAAGGUGGAGGUGGUUUCACCAGCAACUCCAGUGCCCAGCGAGACAGCCCCAGCCUCAGUUUUUCCCCAGAAUGGAUCAGCCCGUAGGGCAGUGGCAGCUCAGCCAGGACGGAAGCGAAAAUCAAAUUGCUUGGGCACUGACGAGGACUCCCAGGACAGUUCAGAUGGAAUACCGUCAGCGCCACGCAUGACUGGCAGCUUGGUGUCUGACCGGAGCCACGACGACAUUGUCACCCGGAUGAAGAACAUUGAGUGCAUCGAGCUGGGCCGGCACCGCCUGAAGCCGUGGUACUUCUCUCCGUACCCACAGGAGCUCACCACAUUGCCCGUCCUCUACCUCUGUGAGUUCUGCCUCAAAUACGGCCGGAGCCUCAAGUGUCUGCAGCGUCACUUGACCAAGUGUGACCUGCGACAUCCUCCGGGCAACGAGAUUUACCGCAAGGGCACCAUCUCUUUCUUUGAGAUUGACGGCCGUAAGAACAAGAGUUAUUCCCAGAACCUGUGUCUCUUGGCCAAGUGCUUCCUCGACCACAAGACGUUGUACUAUGAUACAGACCCCUUCCUCUUCUAUGUCAUGACAGAGUAUGACUGCAAGGGCUUCCACAUCGUGGGCUACUUCUCCAAGGAAAAGGAAUCCACAGAAGACUACAACGUGGCCUGCAUCCUGACGCUGCCUCCCUACCAGCGCCGGGGCUACGGCAAGCUGCUGAUCGAGUUCAGCUAUGAACUCUCCAAAGUGGAAGGGAAAACGGGGACCCCUGAGAAGCCCCUCUCAGACCUUGGCCUCCUAUCCUACCGGAGCUACUGGUCCCAGACCAUCCUGGAGAUCCUGAUGGGGCUGAAGUCAGAGAGCGGGGAGAGGCCACAGAUCACCAUCAACGAGAUCAGUGAGAUCACCAGCAUCAAGAAGGAGGAUGUCAUUUCCACUCUACAGUACCUCAACCUCAUCAACUACUACAAGGGCCAGUAUAUCCUCACACUGUCGGAGGACAUCGUGGACGGACAUGAAAGAGCUAUGCUCAAGCGGCUCCUUCGGAUCGACUCCAAGUGUCUGCACUUCACUCCCAAGGACUGGAGCAAGAGGGGGAAGUGGUGACCAGACACUGUCCACGGCGGUGGCAACAAAGCAGAACUGGGGCUGACGGCACAUCCCAGCCCUACCGGGGCCCCCGAGAGGCACACCAAGGGAGGUGGGGCUGAGGACAGCUCUGUAAGGAGAGGACAGGCCUGGUAGGGCCUGGCUGGUGCCUAGCACCGAGAGAGAGAGAGAGGGAGAAGCAGACUCCCCACUGAGCUGAGAGCCCGACGUGGGACUCGAUUCCAGGACCCGGAGAUCAGGACCUGAGCCAAAGGCAGACGGAGCACUGGCCAUUUGUUUUGGAGAAUCUCUCUCAGUUUGGAUUUGCCUGAUGUUUUCUCCCAAUUGCACUGAAGAUAUUUAUUUUUGGCAAGAAUACCACAGAAGCGCUAUUGUGCCUUUCUCCAUUAGCAUAUCACUGCACUUUUUUUAAAAAAGAUUUUAUUUUGAAGUAAUCUCUAUACCCAGCAUGGGACUCGAACCCACAACCCCAAGAUCAAGAGUCGCACGCUCCUUGGACUGAGCCAGCCAGAUGCCCCAUCACAUAUUACUGAGAGAUAGAGAGCACAAGCAGAGAGAGCAGCAGAGGGAGAGGGAGAAGCAGGCUCUCCACCGAGCAGGGAGCCCAAUGCGGGACUCAAUUCUACGACCCUGGGAUCAUGACCUGAGCCAAAGGCAGAUGCUUAACCAUCUGAGUCACCCAGGCACCCCUGAUUAAUUGGAAUUCUAGAGCUUUCCCUUUUCCCUCAUCUAUUCAUUCAAUUACUUACUUAUAGCAACAUGGGCUCAUGCAUAUUUACUCAUUCUAUAGGUUUUAAUCCAUUAUUAUCAUUAUUUUCUUACUUAACUCAUUCCAGGCUUGGCCAUCGAGAGCUCCUUCAAAUUCCCUGCCUUCAUACGUUGAAAAAGUCGCCAUCAUUAGAAAAUUUCAUAUUGAUAUAUAAUUCACAUACCAUAAAAUUCACCCCUUUAAAGUAUAAAAUCUAGUCAUUUUAGUAUAUUCACAAGAUUGUGAAACCACCACAAUGAUCAAGUUCCAGAAUAUUUUUGUCAUGUUUAAUGCUUUGCAACUUGAAUUCUACUUUGCUUUAUAUCAAGAGCAUUACCUCUGAUUUUUUAUUGUUUCCAUUUACCUGGUAUAACUUGUCCAUCCCCUUUAGUUUCUCUGAAUCAUGUUGCUCUAGGUGUUUCUCUUGCAGGUAACACAUAGUUGGGUCUUGCUAUUUGAGUCCUACUGAAAACUUUAAAAAAAUAGAUUACUUGGGUGGAGGGGGGGGAUGAGAACCUGCGCUGCUACUGGAAGUCUCUCUCAAAAUAUUGCCUCUCAUCCCUCCAGUUUGGGGCCUUGCUAGUUUAGAGUCCUUGGUGAAUGCUAAUGGACACAGCACUGGUUCUUUUGAACUGGAAGGGAAGACCGCUACCUUGUUAUUUUGCCCUUUUCAUGCCUUAGAACCAACAGCUCUGAAAGGAUGAUUGGUCCUGAUGAGCAAGGAAGAAAUUGCUGUGGUCACACAAUGCAGAGGGGGAGUUCCCAGGACUCAAAGAACUAAAGACACUCAACACAAGCAGACUUACCAAGGACUCAGACGUCUCAGGGAUGAAGGUCACCUUACUACGUAAAGAGCCUUUAAGGGAAAAAAAAAAAAAAAAAUAUAUAUAUA